RNAcentral lists this long non-coding RNA (8996 nucleotides) under Gallus gallus (chicken). The record is from RNAcentral. Lineage: Eukaryota; Metazoa; Chordata; Aves; Galliformes; Phasianidae.
GUAGCCCCUCAGGAGAGGUGCUUAGCAUGAAGUUCUGUGCAGCCGGCUGGCUACACUCACAGGCUGUGGUGUGAAGAGACUUGGACCUGCUAAUGAACAUCUGAAUGCAUGUAUAUUCUUGGAAACCUGUUUUACCACAAACAUUUGAACCUGAAAUGCCAGAUUCAUAACCCAACAAACUGAUUUGUUGUCGACUACUGUGCUCACACUGGUUCAGAUGCUGUGCUUCUCCUGUGAGAAACCUGUGCAAGUUUCCAGAGUGUAAGAGAUUACUGCUGCUCAGGGAGCAACAUCACAGACGCAGUAGAGAUAAGUGGAUUUGUGCCUUAAUGAUUCCCUUUACUCCAUACUCUUCUCCUUUAAGCAAAUGAAAUCUGUAUAAGAAAUGACUCUAUGUAAAGUUAAAGUGGGGGAAGAAAGGGUUGAAAUAAUAUUCAGAAAGCCAUUCUAAGCUAGGUGCGAGCCUGGAAGUGAUGUCACUAAAUAAUAUGUAAAUUCUCUGAAUUUUUACAUCCUUUCCAAAAGAACUCUUCUCCCCAGAAAAUUCCCUUCAUUGCUUGCUUUAGUUAGGUUUACAGUGAAUGUUUGUGUCAUAAGUCAUACUCUGUUGACCAAAGGAACGGUUGCUAUUGACUGCAGUCAGAAGAGAUUGAAACUUUGGUUCCUUUUGAAAGAAAAGGAAUUGUUACUGUGCAGCAAAGCUGAUCAGCUGGGUGAAAGGGACAUUUUCUACAACUGACAGGAGGCAACCAGAGGUGAAUGUCAGGGAGCCUGAAUCUGGGGAGCAGGGCAGCCACCAAGUCUUGACAUCUCAGCAUCUGCUCCUAUUUGGUAGACUCCUGUAUUUACUGCUGCAGCACUGACUUUGCUUGUUAGGACUACAACUGCUGGUUCAGGGGUCUGCAACACCAGCAUGUUGGAAGAGGUAGGACUGUUUACAGACUUAGUAUUAGGUGUACAUUUAAACAAUUCACUAAUUCAAGCUUCUCAUCCCAGUUUUCUUCCUGAGAAAAAAUACUACUUUUGUCUAUAGCAUGCAAUCAGAUCUGCAUUUAAUCUCACAUUGGCUGAUGUGUACUACCCCCCAGCAUGUAAAGGAAAUGCUUACAUACAAAUAACUACCUUUAUUUUAGGGAUGUGACUUGCUUCACUAAUUCCCCAGGAUAUUUAUUUAUAAAAAAUUACUUUCAGAGCCUUUUAGUGCAUUGACCUUGUUUCAGGGUUUAGAUGGGAAGAGGGAGGGCUGGAGUUUUUUCUUAAACGCUGCAGGGGAUUUCUGUCAGGUUGCUUUAACACUUCGUCUCAGAUUCUUGCCAGGCUUUUGGGCUAAAGAAUUUUCAAAUGCAGCUAGCCGUCAUCACAUAGCUCUUGCGUUUGUACAGCAGUAUCUGCAGAAGCCUAUCAAAUAUGGGCUAAUGCUGAGAUGUCAAGGCCUUGGUGGCUGCUCUUUGUUUUAUAAAUAUAAAAUUGAUUUGGCUUUCAUGCGAUGAGAAAGCAAGAGGACUUAAGAAUAGAGGCACCAGAUAAGCAUCAUAAAUGCGUACAUCACUUUUAGUGUAUCAGGUGUGGAUGUUGUAGUGACCACUCUAUGGACUGAGUCUGUGCAUUAUAGCAGUUUCCUAUGCAAAGAUGCGGAAUGUUGUUAUUCCCCUAAAGAGCAGGAGAGCAGAGAAAGGGAUGUGCUGUGCUGCUGAAUUUUCCUUUCAAAAACCUAAGGGUUUCAUAGCAAUAGGUCACCACAUUUAGAAUCACUAAAACACUCAUGCUGUAAAAACACAGAACUCGUAGUCUUCUUUACCCCACUGAGGGUUAGCACUGCAAGGGCUGUUAACGAUUCCUUUAGCUUUCUCUUACUGAGUGUUUUCACAUAUAUAUCUACGGAAAAUGAAACAUGAUAUAACAUGCAUGGAAAAUAGAAGCAUGUACUACCCAAACCUCAUUCUCCAACUAAAGUAUCUAUUGUUUAAUAACAGAAGGUACGUAGGGAUUUUUUGGGUGGAUUACUGAGUUGAAGUGUAUUUCGUGCCCCCAAAAUAACAGCUUACAUGCAGACCAUAGGUGUCCAACCUUUUGGCUUAUCUACGCCUUACUGAGCCCAAGAGGAAUCAUCUUGGGCUGCAUAUAAAAUAAAAUAUGUAACAAAAAUUAUUUUUAUUAUUUUUUUUAGUAAAACAUUUUAAAAGGGAAACAAACACACAAGACUAGUGGGUUGGACACAUGAUCUAGGCCAUGAGAAGGUCCCACAUAUCUCUGGGCAGCAACUUUGGAUUAAAGGAACUCUAUUGAAAUGGCAAAUUCCUACUAUUUCUCACAGUAGAGCAGGUAGAACUGUUAUUCUCUCCUGUUACUUCCUGAUGUUUGAACUCAGUCCCUCAUUCCUCUACCAUUGCUUCUCGGUGUCACCCAGGGCUAUACAUAUGGCAACUGCACACACAGUCCUACUUGCAGAUGGGGCUUAGGCUAAAUGCUAGGCUUUGUGGCAUUUCUGUGCUAAUCUCUGAAGGCUUUUGGAUACACCCCUGAGGCAGUGCACUUCUAGAACCCCUGCUUGGCCAAACAGAAGUUCGGCUUCCCUGGGGUUAAAUCCCAAGAAGAUUUCAGUGGUAGUUAAGUUGGAUGUAGGCAGGUGGAAGUGUACAGCACUGCAAAAUGUAACUCCAUUGCCUCUUGGUUUUACUAAUGCCUCAAAGGAGGGCUGGCUCAUUCUAAGUGCAGUGCAAUAUCUAAGUAGAAAAAGAGAUGUUUGGAAAAAUCAUUCAUUAUAUUUUUCAGAAUAAAGCAAUCACAUCUUCCUUAGCAGAGAAUGCAAAGAAAGCUGUAAAUAUCACAGCUGCUCACUGGCAACUAGGAAAAAAAAAGAGUCAAAUUCAAAGCUUGCCACUUCUAUUCACAGUGAAUGACUUAGGAGUCAAAAGAAGAACAGGGUGUGUACAGUCUGAAGAGAAUAUUGCUGGUAAAAUUCUAAGGAUGCCUCCUAAAACUGGCAAUUGCUCACCAUGUCAGCUGGAAUAAAGUUUGUCACAUUGUAUGUCCAGAUGCAAUAUGGUGAUAUAUGCAAUUUCAGUCACUCUUUCCAAAUUGUGGGCUUUAUCUGAAAUGCUCUCAUACCCCAAACUGUCUGCAUUUUCAUUAAAAGAAUGAAUGUUCCUGUCAUCAUCUUGGUAGGAACGCCAACAGGAAAUAAGCUACCUCUAAAUGAAAAGAUGCAUUUUAUUGUUUGCGAAGCUGGGGAAAUAUGAGUCAAACUUACAACUUGGCUGGCAGGUGGUUUGUUUGGAGUAUGGAAUUAGUGCCUUUGUAGGGGUCUGACAAAUAGCCUGGGGUCUCAGACAAUGCACUGGCAUCCUGGUGGCUGCAUGAUCUUACAGAGAGCAUUAACUUCCCUGUGCCUCAGUUUCUUCAUCAGUAAAACUGUGAUAAUCAUUUUCUGCUGGAGUUUCCAGCUAAUAGGCUUGUUAUGCCCUGCAAAGCACUCAGAGAUCUCCAUCUGGAACAAACUACAGAAGUGCAAGUAUUAUUGCUAUUAGAAGUCCAUUACAGCUCUGUUUUGCUUUGUUCGUACUGGCCCUUUGGUACGUGCAGCUAGACAGCUCCUAAUGUUAUCUUGAUGCACAAAGCACUUUUUGUGUGAGGUUUGACUCACACUAAAAUGCCAGUUAGAAUUUUGUCCUCGGGAACUCACUGGAGCUUGGCUUACAGAAUCUGAAAAUUAAAUCAACCAAAAUAGGUCAAACACAAAACUAUAUGUCCUUAUGUGUCCUCUUGUCCUCUUUAGCAGUAUAGCGCAUAGUUGUUGUUUUCUUAUCUGUAAAGUUUGGGCCUGUUUUGUUCCUCAGCCAGCUUUGCUACUGAUAUCUUGGUUACAUUUUGAAUACCUGCUCUUGAGAAUUUUCUGUUCCCAUUAAAUAUAGUUUAGAAGGACACGCUCAUCUGUUAGUGGUCCAGAAAUAACGUGCUGAAUGCACCAGCAGCUGAUGCGACUGAACGCGAUACAAAAGUGUAUCAUUCUGUUAGAGUUUGUUGGUAGGCAUCAUUAUGGAAAUGUUUUUGAGCCUUAAAAAAGGGAAUAGUGUAUCGGAAAUUGAAUCAAACGUUAACAGAAGCUGCAGUUUGUGGUUUACUUUUCCCUCGUAGCUAGUUCUUUAGGAAUUAUUCCUGUUCACAUAAUCCUUUAAGUUAAUGUAUUUAUUCCGUGCGUGCUUUAUAAUUUCUAUUCAUUCAUAUGUCAAGUAGCUGAAGGUGCUGCUUCAAUUAGUAUUUACUUCAGUGUUAUACUGUUUUGAAUUGGUUGUUUGUUACAGUCACAAUGCAGUGAAUAAACGUGUUAAUAUUUGAAGUGGGAAGGGAGGUAAAAUGGGAAACCGUCUGCUCCAGUCGCGGCCCAGCUUUCUGGUUACAACAUAUUAUAAUUUAUUUAAACCCAAUCAAUACUUAAUCUGGAGUUUAAAUUCCGCUAAAGAUCUGUGGCAUAGCUAAAAGCAGCUGAUGCCAAAGAAAAAAAAUUUCUUCAGGCUGUGAUUCUGAUGAAUUUAUAAUGCGCUCUAAGGGUGAUGCAUUGACCUAAAUUCACAGAAGCGCCGCAAUUCGUAUUUAUUAUUGUGAAAGGUGUCCUACCAACACUUUUCUUCUUCUGAAUGUUGAGAGCCUGUGUGAGAAAGAUGGGCGGCUGCAGAGGAAGGAGCUGCACGCACAGCCCGGGAGGGUGGGAUGGGACUGAGCGCGGCCCUGUGCCGCACACCGGGCGGUGAGUCACUGUGACCCCGAGAUUCAAGGCAGGAAUUAAUUCAGCACUGCAAAAAUCUGGCAAAUGUUUGAAGCCAGCAGUGAAAGCAGACUUCCUGAGAGGUGUGUGUUUGUGGUGACAAUUUGGAUUUAUUUUUCUGGCAAUGCAAAAGACAUUGUUACGGCAGGAAGAAGACAGUUGUGUUAAAAACUGCUUCUCUUUUUUAGUUCUCCCCCCCCCCCCAGCCUUUCUGGGGAAAUAGAUUUUGAUCUCUGCGGCAUUUGGUUUUCUCUGUACAGCUCUUUAAACUCCCCCAGGCACAGCCAUCUCAGGGCAGGCCCCAUGGGCAGCUCCUACCAGCACUGCAGGGAUGUGCACACACCAUUCUCUUGUAAGGUCUGGGCAACCUCAUAUUUCCCAGCACAUUUUGGCAAGCUUUUACUCAGAGUGGUCCAACAGCUUUUCAUAGUAAGUGAAUGACUUCCCAGUGACCUGAGCCCUCUUCCAAGCCUCCUUUGUCACCCUGACAGCUUGCAGUCAUGCUUUUCUGAUCUUGUGCAAAGCUAUAUGUUUUACCAGAUCUGUAACUGCAGGAGACUUGGUUGUUCUGAAAAUUAACUGGAUGAAUAAGGGAAAUGUAUAGUGGAUAAAGGCUGACAAUCAUCCCCACUUCUUUUAUGAUACAAUGCCCUGUCCUCACGAGAAGGGAGAAGAGCUCAAUUCUCCCUCCUAAUUGAUAGGUGCAUACUUGUCAGAUGUGGUUUCCCCAGGCAGUCUGUAAGGCAGGACUCACCCCCCCCACACACCGUUCAUCCCCAGUCCCUCACCUGUGUGCUUCUGGGGCAUCACAUCAGACACUCUCCCAGCAUGUGUCUUCUUGCUCUAUUUUGUGCCCGCCUCUGCCCAUAUUGCUGCUGUAGUGGUUUAUGCCAGAAUAAAUAUGGGCUAGCAUAAAUCCUCAGGCUUGGAAGGCAUUAGCCUGCCUUUACUGUAGCACAAUCGACAGCUGUACCUGGCACCACGACCUCAUUGCACCCCAGCGUGGCAGCAUCCAGAGCCUUGAUGCAUUGGAGGAGCAGAGCCACAUGCUUGCUGAGGUUUGUUCCUCUGGGCUGGCCCUGAGGAUGAGAACAGCAUGCAAACACAGCUUCUCAGCAGGAGCAACUAUUAGUUUCAGCUUUAACCUUUACUUAAAAAUAUGAAGCUGCUGAGCAAAAAUGCAAAGGCUUAGUGUUCAAACUCACGCCUAACUCAGAGAGCUGGGUUCCUAGAACCAACUGUGAAUUUCAGUUUAGCAGCAAGGAAGUUUAUGUUCAACUUCAGUUUUUCUUCCAGCUAUAAUGCUCAAAGGGAGUACUUCAGUAUCUGUCUUGCUUUUUGUUAGGGAGAUGAAACAAAACAAAACACCAUUUGUCAUAAUUCUUUGGGAUUGCUAUUAUGGCCAGGAGAAAAGCGGGCUUCUGCUAGUUCAUGUACGAGUCAAAAGAAAGGCAUAUUCCUUUCCCCACAGGAUCCCAAGCGGAAGAGUUGGUGGAUGGGUAAGAUAAAAAUGGGUAUAGAUUGUGAGAGACAGGCUGACAAAAAAAAGUGCGUGCAGUUUUUUCACUAUUCUAGAGCAGUAAUUGUACUUUGCUUACAUACCUAAGCAUGUUUAGGUGGCAAUUUUCUUUCCUUGUAACAGAAGAGGUGACUUUCAAGAGAAUAAUCUGAAGGAGGUUGUGGUGGAUGACUGUUUUCCUUGUUGUUGGUUUUUUUUGUUUGUUUGUUUUGUUUUGUUUCUUUAAAUUCAGAAUGUUUUUUACCAGGUCAACAGGCCAAUUUCUCUCCAUUGUUCACAAAGCUAUUGGGUAUUUUUUUUUCCUUCCCACUGUGCCUUGAAAAAACAACUUCACUUAAGUUCAUGUGUGAAACCUUUUGCACAACAGAAGUGGUUUCUUGUGGCCAGUAAGACUAAAUGUUCUGAGCAUUCCAGGAAGCAUAUAAAUAGACUGAUACUCUUCCUAAGGUUAUAGAGCAUUAUUUCUCCCUUUUUUUCUUUAUUUCUCCUCCUGUCCUACUCCCCUACCUUCAGCUACGCUCUCUCCAUCUAGGCAAAGACCAAACAAAGUGCAGUGUUUGAAAAUCCUGACCAUCAUUUUCCAUUUUACUUGGGUUUUUCUCAGUUACAUGUUCUGAAUAGAAAUUGUUCGAGUAAAUGCAGCACAGUAAAUUAUCUUAAAUUACUUCUUAUAGUCCAGACUAGUAUUAUAACAUGAAAAUUGUUACUUGGAGUCUCCCACGCCCCUGGCUGCUGCAGACCUGUGUCUCCAGGCUGGGGAGAAAUGGAUCACAGUACUUAUCCAGCAGAGCCUGCAGGCCAAUCCACAAUGUGGAAAGUGGAGUUCACAUAAAGGAGGUCUCUUAUCCUUUCCUCUCAAUCCUGCUAGAUACAGCAAAGCUGUCACAAUGGUCAAAUAUAAUUAAAAUGGUGAUCUGCCACUGAAGGGUAGGCCAAUGUCUAUGCAGAAACCAGAUGAGGAAUUAUUCAAGCCAAAAACAUUAAAUCUCAGCUCAUCCGUGGUUACCAUAAAACAGCCAUCCUGUUCCUUUGAUCUAUGAUGAAUUUGAAUGUGUGUUAAUAAGACAUAUAUGCUGGGCAUCAACAUCAUCUUCUGUUGAACGAAGGUAAACACUGCAUUCGUCUCUGUAAAAUAUACUUCAGUAGUUGGGAAGAAAGUGGAGAUUCAUUAUUUUUGCAGUUGUAGAAGACAUUUAGCAGCUGUGUUUAUACUGGCAGACAAUUUGGAUAUUAGGUGGCAGGACAGAGAACUGCAGAUGCACGAUAUCGUGCAGACAUUGUGCACUUACAGCACAUUUCCAGGGAAACAUGUUAUUUUAUAUUUCCCUUGGUGUCAUUAAUCACGUUUCAUGAUGUAUCUCACUAUUUCAACUCAUUCCCCUAGAUUCAUUCAUUUUUUUGGCCUGUUUAUUUAAUAGUUAUUGAGCUCCAUUUCAACAAAUUCCAUCUUAACCACAGAUAAUAAAGUUCCUUUUGCUUCAGGGGAGAAAAUUAAGAUGGCCCUGUACUGAUUUCAGGGACUACCUGUAAUAGUCAGCAUGUCUGCUGCAUCAGAAAGAUACUUUGUUUGCCUUUGGUCAGAAAAAUGUUCAUGCUGUUCUUUGCAACUUAAAAAUUAAACUCAUUUCCUGAAAGUAAAAAUAUGAUUCUUAUCUUGAACUAUAAAGGAAAACAGCUGCACUUUAUUCUGUUCUCGAAGUUCUCUAAUCUCUCUGGAGGCUUUGUUUUGGUUUCACAGGUGAAUCCCUUAAACUGCAGCAGCAAUGAUGGCUCCUCCUUGGCAGAAACAUGCUGAGAAGCAGUUGGGAAUCCCCUGCUCUGGAGCUGCAGCCUGAGGAACCUCAGCGUGUAAGAAGCGUCUCUGAGGCACUCACAUGGUGAUGGUUAUACAUCUCCUGCUUACCCCAACUUAGUGAAAGCUGUCUUCAAGCAAAUAAGACUGGCAGCAAGGCUGGGAGUGCAAUCACCUGCUGGCAUAAUCCCUGGACUCUUCUUAAAGGAAUUCUAAAAAGGGAAACUCAGGAAUGCCUACCUGACUGUCCAGAGAACUGCCAUCCAGAGGAGCAUCCUACAGCAGCACAAGCAUUUCAUCUUCUGGAUUUGUGGAGACAUGUGGGAUUUGUUCAUGCUGAAGGCAGGAGGAAGUCAAGGGAGAAAAAAAGAAUUCUGGGAGGAAACUUGGUAAAACCGAAGAUCCAAAGUGAAACAUCAGGAAACAUCACCAAAAUGAAGCCCGUUGGAUGUUUGCAGCUGUUUCUUUAGUCCUGAUUAACAGGGAUUUUCUGAGAAGAGCUGCACAAGUGCAGUCCCCAUUCAACGUACAGAUUUUCCAGAGUGAUCUCCAAGUUGUAAUGGACAACCUCUUUCCUGCCAGCAGAGCCCAGAGAGGAAUAAACCAAGACCACCAGCUAAGUCAUUGUGUAAUGUGCUGUGGAUAUGAGCAUCGAAUGCCCUCAGAAAACUGGAGUUGUUAUGAGAAUGGUGCAAAAGAAUCUUAUGAGAAAUAUCCAACAAAAUGUCCACUUCACGAUGUCACUUGCUCCGAGUUUCAAAAAAUCAUUAAAUAUAAUUACGCUAAUUUGGCAAUGACUCAGGACCAAAUCAUCCUUUUGCGGGAAUUACCUACGAAGGAAACUGGACGCUCCAUGGCAUCUGUGUCAUCCUUCCCUCCAGAUGGUGCCUCAAAAUCUGUUCUGAAAUGGCAUGUGCAAAGCA